This 492-nucleotide ribosomal RNA is filed under the name uncultured bacterium. RNAcentral's name for it is "partial 16S ribosomal RNA". It matches the Rfam family "Bacterial small subunit ribosomal RNA", at positions 29 to 507 of the family's 1533-position model. The record is from RNAcentral.
AGUGAACGCUGGCGGUAGGCCUAACACAUGCAAGUCGAACGGCAGCACAGUAAGAGCUUGCUCUUACGGGUGGCGAGUGGCGGACGGGUGAGGAAUACAUCGGUAUCUACUUUUUCGUGGGGGAUAACGUAGGGAAACUUACGCUAAUACCGCAUACGACCUACGGGUGAAAGCAGGGGAUCUUCGGACCCUGCGCGAUUGAAUGAGCCGAUGUCGGAUUAGCUAGUUGGCGGGGUAAAGGCCCACCAAGGCGACGAUCCGUAGCUGGUCUGAGAGGAUGAUCAGCCACACUGGAACUGAGACACGGUCCAGACUCCUACGGGAGGCAGCAGUGGGGAAUAUUGGACAAUGGGCGCAAGCCUGAUCCAGCCAUACCGCGUGGGUGAAGAAGGCCUUCGGGUUGUAAAGCCCUUUUGUUGGGAAAGAAAAGCAGCAGGUUAAUACCCCGCUGUUCUGACGGUACCCAAAGAAUAAGCACCGGCUAACUUCGUG